This 468-nucleotide ribosomal RNA is filed under the name uncultured bacterium. Its description in RNAcentral is "partial 16S ribosomal RNA". It matches the Rfam family "Bacterial small subunit ribosomal RNA", at positions 28 to 507 of the family's 1533-position model. The record is from RNAcentral.
GACGAACGCUGGCGGCGUGCUUAACACAUGCAAGUCGAACGGAAAGGCCCUGCUUUUGUGGGGUGCUCGAGUGGCGAACGGGUGAGUAACACGUGAGUAACCUGCCCUUGACUUUGGGAUAACUUCAGGAAACUGGGGCUAAUACCGGAUAGGAGCUCCUGCUGCAUGGUGGGGGUUGGAAAGUUUCGGCGGUUGGGGAUGGACUCGCGGCUUAUCAGCUUGUUGGUGGGGUAGUGGCUUACCAAGGCUUUGACGGGUAGCCGGCCUGAGAGGGUGACCGGCGACAUUGGGACUGAGAGACGGCCCAGACUCCUACGGGAGGCAGAAGGGGGGAAUAUUGAACAAUGGGAGGAAGCCUGAUGAAGAAACGCCGCGUGCGGGAUGACGGCCUGCGGGGUGUAAACCGCUUUAGCCUGUGACGAAGCGUGAGUGACGGUAAUGGGUAAAGAAGCACCGGCUAACUACGUG